GGGGCCUGGGGGACUGGGUGAAGCCUGGGGUGCCCGCGAGGGAGCCCCAGCACAGGUGCUGCAUGGCCGUCGUCAGCUCGUGUCGUGAGAUGUUGGGUUAAGUCCCGCAACGAGCGCAACCCCCGCCCUUAGUUGCCAGCGGGUUGGGCCGGGCACUCUAAGGGGACUGCCUGCGAAAGCAGGAGGAAGGCGGGGACGACGUCUGGUCAUCAUGGCCCUUACGGCCUGGGCGACACACGUGCUACAAUGCCCACUACAGAGCGAGGCGACCCAGUGAUGGGGAGCGAAUCGCAAAAAGGUGGGCGUAGUUCGGAUUGGGGUCUGCAACCCGACCCCAUGAAGCCGGAAUCGCUAGUAAUCGCGGAUCAGCCAUGCCGCGGUGAAUACGUUCCCGGCCUUGUACACACC
This 408-nucleotide ribosomal RNA is filed under the name uncultured bacterium. RNAcentral describes it as "bacterial SSU rRNA". It matches the Rfam family "Bacterial small subunit ribosomal RNA", at positions 985 to 1391 of the family's 1533-position model. The record is from RNAcentral.